RNAcentral lists this long non-coding RNA (636 nucleotides) under Fragaria vesca (wild strawberry). RNAcentral's name for it is "long non-coding RNA (FVES_LNC001547)". Lineage: Eukaryota; Viridiplantae; Streptophyta; Magnoliopsida; Rosales; Rosaceae. The record is from RNAcentral.
UAAACUGUCUGAUUAAUAACUUAGAGCAUAAGGCAAGGCUCUGCCUGAGAAUGAAGAACCAACACUCAACUCAUUCGAUGUUCAAGUACAACUUCAACUUAAUUUGAUCAUAUAAGUUUACAUAAAACGUAUGUUUUUCAUCAUGUCAUACCUCCUAUAGCUAUUCUGAUCCUUUUGUCGUCUCACUUGCAACUUUUUCUACAGAAGUGGUAUAGGCCUCAUAACCGACAUGGAGGAAUAUAACUACUGUGUACGUACUGGCAAUCAAAGCUUCAUCCUCUUGCAUAGUGAUCAAUUUGGGCUAGCUAAAGUGCAUGGUGUGGACUGUGGAUCGAGAUCGUUAUAUGGGGUGGUACGUAGCUACUAGCUAGUGCCAAAUAGCCCAAACUACAAUAUCAGUAUUCCUUCUUUUCUUUUUUUUGGCCUGAAACAGUAUUCCUUCUUUAUAUCCUAGCUUUGUGGCCCAAACUGAUUCAUCCAUGAUCUAUGUAAAUGAGGAUGAAUCAUUGAAAAAAACUUUUGUUGCCAAGCACCGUAUCUCAUUCCUAAUCAAACUCAAUUUAUUCUUCUGAAUUUGAUAACAAUUUCCUGAUAAAUUCUAUCAGUUAAAAAAUACAGCCGAAGUUUAUAUGGGUU